This 35-nucleotide ribosomal RNA is filed under the name Oxytropis pilosa. RNAcentral's name for it is "partial 25S ribosomal RNA". Lineage: Eukaryota; Viridiplantae; Streptophyta; Magnoliopsida; Fabales; Fabaceae. The record is from RNAcentral.
GAGACCUCAGGUCAGGCGGAGCUACCCGCUGAGUU